GACGGCCUUCGGGUUGUAAACGGCUUUUGGGGGGGAAGAUUCUGACGGUACCCCCCGAAUAAGCCCCGGCUAACUCCGUGCCAGCAGCCGCGGUAAGACGGAGGGGGCAAGCGUUGUCCGGAAUUACUGGGCGUAAAGCGCGCGUAGGUGGUUCGUUGCGUCGGUGCUGAAAGCGCCGGGCUUAACCCGGUGAGGCGUGCCGAUACGAGCGAGCUAGAGGCAGGGAGAGGGCAGCGGAAUUCCGGGUGUAGUGGUGAAAUGCGUGGAGAUCCGGAGGAACGCCAGAGACGAAGGUGGCUGCCUGGCCCUGACCUGACACUGAGGCGCGAUAGCGUGGGGAGCAAACCGGAUUAGAUACCCGGGUAGUCCACGCCGUAAACGAUGCCAGCUCGGUGUCUGGGCCCUUUACGGGGCCUGGGUGCCUAAGCACACGCGGUAAGCUGGCCGCCUGGGGAGUACGAGCGCAAGCUUAAAACUCAAAGGAAUUGACGGGGGCCCGCACAAGCAGCGGGGCGUGUGGUUUAAUUCGACGCAACGCGAAGAACCUUACCCAGGUUUGACAUGCACCUGCAAGCCGGUGAAAGCCGGUCGCCUUCGAGGGUGGUGCACAGGUGCUGCAUGGUUGUCGUCAGCUCGUGUCGUGAGAUGUUGGGUUAAGUCCCGCAACGAGCGCAACCCGCGUCGCUAGUUACACGUGUCUAGCGAGACAGCCGCCUUUAUGGGCGGGGGAAGGCGCGGAUGACGUCAAAUCCGCAUGGCCCUUACACCUGGGGCGACACACACGCUACAAUGGGCCGGUACAGUGCGCUGCAAGGCCGUAAGGCGGAGCAAAUCGUCAAACCGGUCCCCAGUUCAGAUCGAGGGCUGCAACUCGCCCUCGUGAAGGUGGAGUUGCUAGU
This 899-nucleotide ribosomal RNA is filed under the name uncultured bacterium. RNAcentral's name for it is "bacterial SSU rRNA". It matches the Rfam family "Bacterial small subunit ribosomal RNA", at positions 410 to 1339 of the family's 1533-position model. The record is from RNAcentral.